This 364-nucleotide ribosomal RNA is filed under the name uncultured bacterium. RNAcentral describes it as "bacterial SSU rRNA". It matches the Rfam family "Bacterial small subunit ribosomal RNA", at positions 29 to 418 of the family's 1533-position model. The record is from RNAcentral.
AACGAACGCUGGCGGCAGGCUUAACACAUGCAAGUCGAACGGGCGUAGCAAUACGUCAGUGGCGGACGGGUGAGUAACACGUGGGAAUGUGCCUUUCGGUUCGGAACAACUCGGGGAAACCCGUGCUAAUUCCGGAUACGCCCUUACGGGGAAAGAUUUAUCGCCGAAAGAUCAGCCCGCGUCCGAUUAGCUAGUUGGUGAGGUAAAGGCUCACCAAGGCACCGAUCGGUAGCUGGUUUGAGAGAACGACCAGCCACACUGGGACUGAGACACGGCCCAGACUCCUACGGGAGGCAGCAGUGGGGAAUCUUGGACAAUGGGCGCAAGCCUGAUCCAGCCAUGCCGCGUGAGUGAUGAAGGCCUU